RNAcentral lists this ribosomal RNA (586 nucleotides) under uncultured bacterium. Its description in RNAcentral is "partial 16S ribosomal RNA". It matches the Rfam family "Bacterial small subunit ribosomal RNA", at positions 355 to 1375 of the family's 1533-position model. The record is from RNAcentral.
UGGGGAAUUUUUGGACAAUGGGCGAAAGCCUGAUCCAGCAAUGCCGCGUGUGUGAAGAAGGCCUUCGGGUUGUAAAGCACUUUUGUCCGGAAAGAAAUCCUUGGCUCUAAUACAGUCGGGGGAUGACGGUACCGGAAGAAUAAGCACCGGCUAACUACGUGCCAGCAGCCGCGGUAAUACGUAGGGUGCAAGCGUUAAUCGGAAUUACUGGGCGUAAAGCGUGCGCAGGCGGUUUGCUAAGACCGAUGUGAAAUCCCCGGGCUCAACCUGGGAACUGCAUUGGUGACUGGCAGGCUAGAGUAUGGCAGAGGGGGGUAGAAUUCCACGUGUAGCAGUGAAAUGCGUAGAGAUGUGGAGGAAUACCGAUGGCGAAGGCAGCCCCCUGGGCCAAUACUGACGCUCAUGCACGAAAGCGUGGGGAGCAAACAGGAUUAGAUACCCUGGUAGUCCACGCCCUAAAACGAUGUCAACUAGUUGUUGGGGAUUCAUUUCCUUAGUAACGUAGCUAACGCGUGAAGUUGACCGCCUGGGGAGUACGGUCGCAAGAUUAAAACUCAAUGAAUUGACGGGGUCAUAGCUGUUUCCU